This 303-nucleotide ribosomal RNA is filed under the name uncultured bacterium. Its description in RNAcentral is "partial 16S ribosomal RNA". It matches the Rfam family "Bacterial small subunit ribosomal RNA", at positions 507 to 807 of the family's 1533-position model. The record is from RNAcentral.
AGCAGUCGCCGCGGUAAUACGUAGGGUGCGAGCGUUAAUCGGAAUUACUGGGCGUAAAGCGUGCGCAGGCGGUUGUGUAAGACAGGUGUGAAAUCCCCGGGCUUAACCUGGGAACUGCGCUUGUGACUGCACAGCUAGAGUAUGGCAGAGGGGGGUGGAAUUCCACGUGUAGCAGUGAAAUGCGUAGAGAUGUGGAGGAACACCGAUGGCGAAGGCAGCCCCCUGGGCCAAUACUGACGCUCAUGCACGAAAGCGUGGGGAGCAAACAGGAUUAGAGACCCCUGUAGUCCCUGUCUCUUAUAC